RNAcentral lists this ribosomal RNA (525 nucleotides) under Triticum aestivum (bread wheat). RNAcentral's name for it is "partial small subunit ribosomal RNA". Lineage: Eukaryota; Viridiplantae; Streptophyta; Magnoliopsida; Poales; Poaceae. The record is from RNAcentral.
AUGGGGGCAGCCACUCAGUUCAGCUCUGGACAGAGGAGACUGGCGAUUUGGAUCCGCCAUGUUGUUCCGGCCGUCGGUGCUGCUUCCCCGGCUACUUCUUGGGCGGAGGAGGGAGCUCAGCUGCUUCUUGGGCGGAGGAGGGAGCUCGGUCCAUCUGUUCGCCCAGCCGCCAGAUCCAUGGGGGACAUGUCCACGAUUCAACGCCCGCCCGACGUUGUCACCAAGAUGUCAUUUUGCUUAUCAAUUUUUUGGGCCGGACCACCCUGCUGUCAAAUGCUAGCUCCGCCACUGCCAAGGAGGUAUAUAACUAUCCUAGUUCUGAAAUUUAAAAAUGAAGUACAAAGUCCGAAGACAGUAUAUGUAAGAGAACUUGCAAUAACUGCAAAGUUCCAAGGUCUAAUACAAGAACAUGGAAAUUUGCAUGUGUACAAAAGAUCCCCUAUGUUUGUCAUCGGAAACACUAUAUACCAAAAAGGAUGGCCGUGCCAAAAUCAUUUUAUAUUUAUAUUGAAUGAGAGAAAAUAA